This 99-nucleotide ribosomal RNA is filed under the name Clostridium yunnanense. RNAcentral's name for it is "Clostridium sp. YIM B02505 partial 16S ribosomal RNA". It matches the Rfam family "Bacterial small subunit ribosomal RNA", at positions 1437 to 1533 of the family's 1533-position model. The record is from RNAcentral. Lineage: Bacteria; Bacillati; Bacillota; Clostridia; Eubacteriales; Clostridiaceae.
AACCCGUAAGGGAGGCAGCAGCCGAAGGUAGGGUCAGCGAUUGGGGUGAAGUCGUAACAAGGUAGCCGUAGGAGAACCUGCGGCUGGAUCACCUCCUUU